This 440-nucleotide ribosomal RNA is filed under the name uncultured Methylotenera sp. Its description in RNAcentral is "bacterial SSU rRNA". It matches the Rfam family "Bacterial small subunit ribosomal RNA", at positions 358 to 789 of the family's 1533-position model. The record is from RNAcentral. Lineage: Bacteria; Pseudomonadati; Pseudomonadota; Betaproteobacteria; Nitrosomonadales; Methylophilaceae.
GGAAUUUUGGACAAUGGGCGAAAGCCUGAUCCAGCCAUUCCGCGUGAGUGAAGAAGGCCUUCGGGUUGUAAAGCUCUUUCGCAAGGGAAGAAAGAUUACUCUCUAACAUAGAGUGAUUAUGACGGUACCUUGAUAAGAAGCACCGGCUAACUACGUGCCAGCAGCCGCGGUAAUACGUAGGGUGCGAGCGUUAAUCGGAAUUACUGGGCGUAAAGCGUGCGCAGGCUGUUUUGUAAGUCAGAUGUGAAAUCCCUGAGCUCAACUUAGGAACUGCGUUUGAAACUACAAGACUAGAAUAUGUCAGAGGGGGGUAGAAUUCCACGUGUAGCAGUGAAAUGCGUAGAGAUGUGGAGGAAUACCAAUGGCGAAGGCAGCCCCCUGGGAUAAUAUUGACGCUCAUGCACGAAAGCGUGGGGAGCAAACAGGAUUAGAUACCCCUG